UUUUUUUUUUAGUAGGAUGUCAUUUAGUCUCCAGGUGUUUAUUCCCCUCUAGUUUUUUUUCUCACUGUAAUUGAUAUCUAACAUCAACGUCUUAGAGGUGGUGCUGUACUGUUUCCCAGAAUCCCCUUUCCUGAGUUGUUAUAAGGUUUGAUUUUUUAAAAAGAAUAAUUUUCUCAAGACUUGGAAAAGAAUUUUUAAGCAAUAAUCAUUAUUUUAAGGUUAUCAUGUUAGAUACAGAAUGCCUAGCUAAUUAGCAACAAGAUGUCAAGUUCACCUAUUCCAUUUCUACAUAUUUUCCCACCUGUUGGUCUUGAUAGCCAAAACUGACCCCUGGGCAGCAUAAAAUGCAGAGCCAAUAUGCUUUCAUAAACUUUCCCACCAGUCCUCUUUCAUAGUCACCUUCUGACAGCUAGAUGUGUAUGGCUUCAGGAAGUUUGAUUAGUGAUUUUCUCCAUCUCCAACUCAUCAUUCUGAGCCUUUAUUUCCACAGUUUUUCUAUAGUUGUGUGAGUUAUUUUUCUAAUUGAUUGCUGUUCCAUAAUAUUUUUAUUCUCUUUGUUUGAACCCUAACUGACAUAGUAAUUUGUAUCUGUAAGUGGGAUGCUGUCAUACUGAAAAUAUAAACUAUAUGGCAUUGGCUUUGGAGUCAGAUGGCUGAGCUAUCUGCAUUGGACUGUGAUAUGAGAAAGAAAUUAAAAUUUGUUACAUUAAGACACUGAUAUUUAGGGUUAUUUUCCAUAGGAUGGAAACUGUACUAAUUAAUACAUGUCUGCAAACAAGUCUUUCCUCACUACCCAGUCUUAAUCCACACCUAAUCUUCCCUACCUUAUCACCUCAUUUUAACUUCUAUAAUAUUUAUCUUUUUAAAAUUCAUUCAUUUCAAUAUACCAAAGCUAUUAUAUAAAUUCCGUAAGACAGAGAUCUUAUCUGCUUUUUUCUAACACAAUUGCAACAAUAAAUAUAUAUUGAAUACAUUAAUGAUGAAGUAAAUUAAUGAAUAAAAUGAGUGAAUUAAAGCUUAACACUAAGCAGGAAUGUAUGUGCCUUCAAUUGUGUAUGUUUCUGCUCUGUUUCCCUCUUAGUGUCUAGGGAUUCUUUCUGGCUUUUAUUCUAUCCAUGUAAAGAAAUCACUAAAAAUAAUUACAGAAUUUCUUAUGUUUUAUAUUCCCGUGUUCAUACAUAGCCAGCUAAGGAAUGGUUCACUGAUGCAAAUAUACUCAAAUUCAUCUCAAAAUUGACUGUGAGGAAAUUCCUCUUUAAAGUCUUUUUAAAAGAAAAUUAUCUCCUAAAAUAGAUUUGUUGAAUGAUAUCAAGGAGGCUAUUAAAAGUCAGGAAUUAGGAAAUUAGUGUUGGGUUUAUCUUUCUUGAGAAAUAGCUGAGAGAUGUUAGUUUUCCAUUUGUACAAAAUUCCACAGUACAAAUCUAUAAGGCAAGAAAUCUUCUUUCUGUACUGCUAGAGCUAAAGGUAAUCAGGUAGUAUACUUAGGACUGAGAUGAAAGGGAAAUAAUUGGAAUGACUACAUUUCCUGUAUGUCUACUAUGUACAAGCACUGUACCAAGCAUUUCAUAUAAAGUCUUCAUUUGUCAUUCAAACUAAAUGUGUAAGAUUGGUAUUCUUAACAUUUAGACACACCUGUUGAAGAUGAAGAAACUACAAUUACAAAGGCUAUUUCUCACCAUGCCUCAGAGCUAGGAAAUGCUGGAAGUUAAACACAAACCCCACAGGGGAUUUUGUGGUGGUCUUAUAGUUAGGAUUUGGAGCUUUUGUUACUGCAGCCAGGGUCCAAUCCCUGUUCUGGGAACUGAGAUCCCACAUCAAGCUGCUGCAUGCCAUAACCACAAACAAAUAAACUCUGCAUUAUGUCACUAAAUUUAGUAUUUUUCAUAAUUCCAAUCUUUUUUCCAAUUAUUUUAAAAUUAAAUAUUUCUGAUCCAAGGAAAUAUAAGAGAAUAGAAUAAAAAUUAUUUUGAGCUUAGAGUAAGAAACCUGGGUUCCAUUUUUCAGUUCUGCAGCCAAUGACACUGAUCUUGGGAUGGUCAAGAUCAAAAGAGGCUUUUAUACUAUUUUUAGUAGCCUAAUACUUUCUUCAUAAAUAAUCAGUUGUAUCCUAAAAUUAGAAACUAAACAAUUAAACUGUUAAUAUUGGUCCUCCUUGAGUAAUGAGCAUUUGAUUUAGGAAAAUCUCCAUGUGCAUGAAUAGCUGGUAGCCCUCUGCAAUCUCCUUCUACUCUGCCUCUUCCAUAGAGUCCAGAAACUAGGAACUGGAAUUCUAUGAUAGUCAGACCUGGCAGGGAUUUAUCUAUUCUGGCAUACUUUAUUACUUUUAUUGGUCCUUCAUGCCCAACUCAUCUGUCUCCAGCAAUUUUUCACAGAUGAACAUGCAUUCUAUUUAGUCCUCUUCCUUUAUUCUAUGAAUCUUAUCUAGUUUCUUCAAGGAGAUACAUUUCUACUUCUUAAUUCUCUCCUUUCCCCUAUGCCAUCCUGGCUUUCUCAACCUGUUCAAUUUGUUUCUCUUCCUGUUCAGUUUGUGAUUCUAAUCAUGGCUGCUUAGAGCAGAGCUAGUGGUACAACUCCACUCAGGCAAAGGAAAUCUGAAAAUUUUGAAGUGACAAGAGAGAGCUAGUGCUUUCUGUUUCCAACCCCUCUUUAUAUUCCCACAGACCUCUUCAAAACUUCUAUGAAUGUAUUUCCAUCAGCCUGAUUAAACUUAUUUCUCCUUAAAUUCUAGCACUCAUGAAAAUUAAACUAUUUAACUUUGUGGAUUUUUUUUUUCUAUUUUGCACUACAGCAGUAAUUUAAUACAAGUGUUCAUUCCUACUG
This 2820-nucleotide long non-coding RNA is filed under the name Sus scrofa (pig). RNAcentral's name for it is "lncRNA (ENSSSCG00015017933.1)". Lineage: Eukaryota; Metazoa; Chordata; Mammalia; Artiodactyla; Suidae. The record is from RNAcentral.